Molecule: ribosomal RNA, 496 nt
Filed under: uncultured soil bacterium
Lineage: Bacteria
Description: bacterial SSU rRNA
Rfam family: Bacterial small subunit ribosomal RNA
Source: RNAcentral
AGAUUGAACGCUGGCGGCAGGCCUAACACAUGCAAGUCGAGCGGCAGCACGGGUACUUGUACCUGGUGGCGAGCGGCGGACGGGUGAGUAAUGCCUAGGAAUCUGCCUGAUAGUGGGGGGAUAACGUUCGGAAACGGACGCUAAUACCGCAUACGUCCUACGGGAGAAAGUGGGGGAUCUUCGGACCUCACGCUAUCAGAUGAGCCUAGGUCGGAUUAGCUAGUUGGUAGGGUAAAGGCCUACCAAGGCUACGAUCCGUAACUGGUCUGAGAGGAUGAUCAGUCACACUGGAACUGAGACACGGUCCAGGCUCCUACGGGAGGCAGCAGUGGGGAAUAUUGGACAAUGGGCGAAAGCCUGAUCCAGCCAUGCCGCGUGUGUGAAGAAGGUCUUCGGAAUUGUAAAGCACUUUAAGUUGGAGAAGGCAUUAACCUAAUACGUUAGUGUUUUGACGUUACGACAGAAUAAGCACCGGCUAACUCUGUGCCAGCAGCCG